GAUGAACGCUGGCGGCGUGCCUAAUACAUGCCAGUCGAGCGAACAGACGAGGAGCUUGCUCCUCUGACGUUAGCGGCGGACGGGUGAGUAACACGUGGAUAACCUACCUAUAAGACUGGGAUAACUUCGGGAAACCGGAGCUAAUACCGGAUAAUAUAUUGAACCGCAUGGUUCAAUAGUGAAAGACGGUUUUGCUGUCACUUAUAGAUGGAUCCGCGCCGCAUUAGCUAGUUGGUAAGGUAACGGCUUACCAAGGCAACGAUGCGUAGCCGACCUGAGAGGGUGAUCGGCCACACUGGAACUGAGACACGGUCCAGACUCCUACGGGAGGCAGCAGUAGGGAAUCUUCCGCAAUGGGCGAAAGCCUGACGGAGCAACGCCGCGUGAGUGAUGAAGGUCUUCGGAUCGUAAAACUCUGUUAUUACGGAAGAACAAAUGUGUAAGUAACUAUGCACGUCUUGACGGUACCUAAUCAGAAAGCCACGGCUAACUACGUG
Molecule: ribosomal RNA, 497 nt
Filed under: uncultured bacterium
Lineage: Bacteria
Description: partial 16S ribosomal RNA
Rfam family: Bacterial small subunit ribosomal RNA
Source: RNAcentral